This 722-nucleotide ribosomal RNA is filed under the name uncultured organism. RNAcentral's name for it is "bacterial SSU rRNA". It matches the Rfam family "Bacterial small subunit ribosomal RNA", at positions 671 to 1380 of the family's 1533-position model. The record is from RNAcentral.
CGGUGUAGCAGUGAAAUGCGUAGAUAUCGUGAGGAAGACCGGUGCCGAAGGCGAGUCUCUGGACAGAUCCUGACGCUUGAGGCACGAAGGCUGGGGGAGCGAACAGGAUUAGAUACCCUGGUAGUCCCAGCAGUAAACGAUGUGAGCUUGAUGUGGGGGGAUUCGACCCCUUCCGUGUCGAAGCUAACGCGAUAAGCUCACCGCCUGAGGAGUACGGCCGCAAGGCUAAAACUCAAAGAAAUUGACGGGGACCCGCACAAGCGGUGGAGUAUGUGGCUUAAUUCGAUGCAACGCGAAGAACCUUACCUGGCCCUGACAUGCAUUGUGUCGUCGGUGAAAGCCGGCUGGUCCUGGAAACAGGACGCUUUGCACAGGUGCUGCAUGGCUGUCGUCAGCUCGUGUCGUGAGAUGUUGGGUUAAGUCCCGCAACGAGCGCAACCCUUGUGGUCAGUUACUAACCGGCUUAGCCGGAGGACUCUGGCCAGACUGCCCUGUCAAACGGGGAGGAAGGUGGGGACGACGUCAAGUCAGUAUGGCCCUUAUGGCCAGGGCUGCACACGUACUACAAUGCCCGGUACAAUGUGAACCGAAACCGCGAGGUGGAGGAAAUCGCUCUUGAAAACCGGGCCCAGUUCGGAUUGGAGUCUGCAACUCGACUCCAUGAAGUCGGAAUCGCUAGUAAUGGCGUAUCAGCAACGACGCCGUGAAUACGUUCCCGGGUC